RNA transcript from Solenopsis invicta (red fire ant), 2691 nucleotides. RefSeq lists it as uncharacterized. The record is from RefSeq and is a predicted model, not a curated record. Lineage: Eukaryota; Metazoa; Arthropoda; Insecta; Hymenoptera; Formicidae. The transcript has 5 exons.
UCGCCGUGCGGUAAGUGCGGCGUGUAGCCGCGUGAAGUUGUCCGCGCGAGAUUGUCGCGAGGAGUCGUCGCGAGGAGUCAUCGCGCGUUCGUGACGUUUAAGUAUGGCGGACGCUCGCACGCACAGCGGACGAUUGUCGCGUAUCGUGCUCGCGUUCAAGCAUUCGGUAACGCCGCGCGAUGUGACGGACGAUCGCCGACAGUGGUGUUAUCGCCUCGUGCGUUUACGUGACGGUUCUAAUCGACUGAGACGGCGUCUGCUCCAAGGACGACGCGCACGAGUGGCUGAAUACCGGAGGUCUGGAUCGGCCGGCGAUGCCUCGUCCAAGCUCGUCCGUGUGUAUGUGUGUGAACGUGUGUGUCACGAGCGACGACGUGGAGCAGAGGGGAGCGGUGAGACGAGGACGCGCAACGCGACGACGGUGGUACCGUGGCAUCGGGCACGAUGGGAACUUACACGAGUUUAAUUGAACUCAAGCAAGAGAAUGUUAUAUUUUCGUUUACAAUUAAUUAGUGAUUCAUUAAAUGUGCGUAAGCGAGUGUUAUUUUCAUUAAAGUUGAAUUUUUUUAUUGAAUCUUAACUUGUUUUAAUUUCGGGAGUGCCAUGUAAAGUAUCGCGCGACGUGUGAUUGUCAUAUUCUAUUAAUUAAUUUCCGCGCUGAUUUAAUUAACUGCGUUUUAGCAAGUGUAAUUAAUCGCGUUCUCGCAAGUGUGUUAUGAGUGCAACAAUGGAACUUGAAAGCAGCGAACAACAGCGAAGCAGUGGGCAGGUGUCUACCGUUGGCGCUGAUUACAAUAUACUAUGAGACACAACGUGGGAGCUUAUAAUGCACCACCCUAUAAACCCUCGUUUUGCGCUUGCGAACCGGGCAGCCACCGGGCAACUUCUAGAUAUCUUUCACUAGUCUACAAGACCUUGAUCUUUUCCGAGGUCCGUUACGAAGAGCAAAACUUCCACAAAUUGGAGAUCAACAACCGCAGCUGAAGACGAGACCUUUAUCCUUUUCCUAUCAGAAUGUAGAUCUCUUUUUUUUUAUUUGAGCUCGGUCUGUAAUCAAAGAAAAUGCUUAUAAGUAAAAUCAACAUCUGAAACACACGAGUGCAGAAAAUUACGAUGACACGUUGCGUAUGUAUAAGCACGAAAUACCUUUGCAUUUAUGCCGUUGUACUGCAAAGUACCGUUGUACAAAUUAUGCUCUUAAAUCAGGUUUUCUCCGUUACUUGAAAACACGUGCGUUUUCAUUUUACGAUUGCGGGUUGCCAGCUACCUCACCGUAUCUCACCUUGUAUAAGUCGCAAAAUUCGUGUAGGGUAUGUAAAUUUAAUGUCACGUGUUUGAGUGAAGAAACAAGCGUAUGAAUCCUCCGUUAAUCCUGCAUUUCAGUAUUUCUUUUAAAAUACAAAGAAAAAUAGGAAAUUAAGUCUGAAAUAUAAAUACAUACAUUCGAAAUUUAAUUCAACCAUUGAAUUUUAAUUAACGACAGUUAUCGUUUCGGAUUAUUCACUGACUAAUUUUAGAUGCACAUUAAUCGGCCCAAUAAAAUACUUGAUAACGGAUCAUCAGAUUCGUUCGUCAUUGAUCCGUCACUCUUUCUAUUCUACAUAUUAGAAUACGGAUUAUUCAUAUAAAAUGAAACAGCAAAAUAAUACGAGUGCUAUAAAUAAUGCAACUGUCUCGGUGUAUAUUGUAACAUGUGUUGCAAAAGCGUAUUGCUUUCACCUGCAGUUAUUACUUUCAAAAAUUAUAAGCACUGUAUUUAUCAAGUAAUAUACAAAAAUGUUUUACGAUGGUGAUCGAUAUUCAGUAAAUUGAUAUAAAUAAUUUUUUAAUUACCAAACUUCAACUAUAUGCUUAUAAAUGGCAUGAUAAUACACAUCUUUAGCUCUCUUAUCGAUCUUUACAUGUUACAGAAAAUACCUAUUAGAUUAUCAUUUAGCCUUGUAAUAAAUUUUACUCAAAGAUAAUUGCCGCGUAAGAUACUUAAUGUCAAGCGACGAGAAGCAGUUAACUUAAUUUAUGAUUAUUCUAGGACGAUCUAAUAACUUGCAAAAAUUAAAUUAAAUAUACAAUGUAUUAUAUAUAAAACGUAAAACUUGUUAAAAAAUAUAUAUAUAUGUAUAUAUAUGUACUAGUCAUAGGAUUAAAUUCAUUAAAAUUAAAAUAUAUAUAUAGGUAAAGAGCAAAACAAAUGAUUACAAAGCUGAGAUUUAUUUUAGCUAAUAAUGGUUUUAAAAUAAUCUCUAUAUAAGAAUUAUAAUUUUUCCAUUUCUUUCACAUUGAUUUUACUCUCUUUUUUUUUUCUCUUUCUGUUGCAAAUGCGUAUCGCACAAAUAAUCCAGUAUUGAUUUUCCGUAUGUAUUUGCUGCAAUUAUGUGCAUCUUACAAGUUGCCGAGUUGUUGAUUUUCUGUGAAAUGCCGAGGCAGUGCCUACCGUAUAUCAAGGAUUACUUACAAUCGAGUACUUCUACUCUAUAUACUUCUUCACGAUAUUUUCAUAUACUUCGACGUAUGUACAAAGAAAUGUUUAUUCUUUACUUUUUACUCCUCUACACGUCUCAGUAAAAAAAGGUUACUUGGAGCAUUUAUACUGGAGUAGCCGUGAAGGUGUACUAAAGAUAAAUUUUCCAUUGAUGAAAUUUCAUAUACAAUCACAAGUAUCGGAGUACAUAUUUUAUAAAUAAAUAGCAACAA